Molecule: transfer RNA, 77 nt
Filed under: Chloroflexi bacterium GWC2_73_18
Lineage: Bacteria; Bacillati; Chloroflexota
Also listed under: 9 other names
Description: tRNA-Val
Rfam family: tRNA
About the family: Transfer RNA (tRNA) molecules are approximately 80 nucleotides in length.
Source: RNAcentral
GGGCGAUUGGCUCAGCUGGUUAGAGCGCACGGUUCACAUCCGUGAGGUCACUGGUUCGAAUCCAGUAUCGCCCACCA